RNAcentral lists this unclassified non-coding RNA (360 nucleotides) under Archaeopsylla erinacei erinacei. RNAcentral's name for it is "sequence contains ITS2". Lineage: Eukaryota; Metazoa; Arthropoda; Insecta; Siphonaptera; Pulicidae. The record is from RNAcentral.
UAUAAUAUAAUAAGACUGCCGUUUGCUCUUGUUGGCAUACCGGCGUAUAAUGGAGUUUCGCGUAACUGCGUGCUUUCUAAAUUAUUCACUCAACGUGUGAGCCAGUCCUGUUCGCAACAGCGGCAAUACCGUUCGUUGACGUUCGCGGGAUUACGGCGGGUUGUGUGUCCUAGAUUAUUAAUAUAUUCUUGCGACCCACCCGAAUGCCGGAAACCCGAACUCUUCGAUGAGUGUUAUGUCGGCGUACUCGGACGACCUAAUGGUUCCUCGUUAUUAUCGUACGCGCUUGCAUUUCAUUGCGAUAUUUAUUUCAUUAUGAAUUUUCGCUUCGAUUAGUGAGCGUGUUACGAAAUUACAAAA